UACGUAGGGUGCAAGCGUUGUCCGGAAUUAUUGGGCGUAAAGAGCUCGUAGGCGGUUUGUCGCGUCUGCUGUGAAAACUCGGGGCUUAACCCCGGGCCUGCAGUGGGUACGGGCAGACUAGAGUGCGGUAGGGGAGACUGGAAUUCCUGGUGUAGCGGUGGAAUGCGCAGAUAUCGGGAGGAACACCGGUGGCGAAGGCGGUUCUCUGGGCCUUACCUGACGCUGAGGAGCGAAAGCGUGGGGAGCGAACAGG
RNAcentral lists this ribosomal RNA (253 nucleotides) under uncultured bacterium. RNAcentral's name for it is "partial 16S ribosomal RNA". It matches the Rfam family "Bacterial small subunit ribosomal RNA", at positions 524 to 776 of the family's 1533-position model. The record is from RNAcentral.